Molecule: ribosomal RNA, 290 nt
Filed under: uncultured bacterium
Lineage: Bacteria
Description: partial 16S ribosomal RNA
Rfam family: Bacterial small subunit ribosomal RNA
Source: RNAcentral
AGUAUCCUACGGAGGCAGCAGUGGGGAAUAUUGCACAAUGGGGGAAACCCUGAUGCAGCGACGCCGCGUGAGUGAAGAAGUAUUUCGGUAUGUAAAGCUCUAUCAGCAGGGAAGAAAAAAGACGGUACAUGACUAAGAAGCCCCGGCUAACUACGUGCCAGCAGCCGCGGUAAUACGUAGGGGGCAAGCGUUAUCCGGAUUUAUUGGGUUUAAAGGGUGCGCAGGCGGUCUGUUAAGUCAGCGGUCAAAGCCCGGGGCUCAACCCCGGCCCGCCGUUGAAACUGGCAGUC